This 506-nucleotide ribosomal RNA is filed under the name uncultured bacterium. RNAcentral describes it as "partial 16S ribosomal RNA". It matches the Rfam family "Bacterial small subunit ribosomal RNA", at positions 29 to 523 of the family's 1533-position model. The record is from RNAcentral.
AGUGAACGCUGGCGGUAGGCCUAACACAUGCAAGUCGAACGGCAGCACAGGAGAGCUUGCUCUCUGGGUGGCGAGUGGCGGACGGGUGAGGAAUACAUCGGAAUCUACUCUGUCGUGGGGGAUAACGUAGGGAAACUUACGCUAAUACCGCAUACGACCUACGGGUGAAAGCAGGGGACCUUCGGGCCUUGCGCGAUUGAAUGAGCCGAUGUCGGAUUAGCUAGUUGGCGGGGUAAAGGCCCACCAAGGCGACGAUCUGUAGCUGGUCUGAGGGGAUGAUCAGCCACACUGGAACUGAGACACAGUCCAGACUCCUACGGGAGGCAGCAGUGGGGAAUAUUGGACAAUGGGCGCAAGCCUGAUCCAGCCAUACCGCGUGGGUGAAGAAGGCCUUCGGGUUGUAAAGCCCUUUUGUUGGGAAAGAAAUCCAGCUGGCUAAUACCCGGUUGGGAUGACGGCACCCAAAGAAUAAGCACCGGCUAACUUCGUGCCAGCCGCCGCGGUAA